Molecule: transfer RNA, 75 nt
Rfam family: tRNA
About the family: Transfer RNA (tRNA) molecules are approximately 80 nucleotides in length.
Source: Rfam
CGGGGUGUGGCGCAGUUUGGUUAGCGCGCUGGCUUUGGGUGCCAGAGGCCCCCGGUUCAAGUCCGGGCACCCCGA